UGGAGCUCAAGGAGAGACCAUGGA
This 24-nucleotide non-coding RNA is filed under the name Arabidopsis thaliana (thale cress). Lineage: Eukaryota; Viridiplantae; Streptophyta; Magnoliopsida; Brassicales; Brassicaceae. The record is from RNAcentral.